UGGGGAAUAUUGCACAAUGGGCGCAAGCCUGAUGCAGCGACGCCGCGUGGGGGAUGACGGCCUUCGGGUUGUAAACUCCUUUCGCCAGGGACGAAGCGUUUUGUGACGGUACCUGGAGAAGAAGCACCGGCUAACUACGUGCCAGCAGCCGCGGUAAUACGUAGGGUGCAAGCGUUGUCCGGAAUUACUGGGCGUAAAGAGCUCGUAGGUGGUUUGUCACGUCGUCUGUGAAAUUCCACAGCUUAACUGUGGGCGUGCAGGCGAUACGGGCUGACUUGAGUACUGUAGGGGUAACUGGAAUUCCUGGUGUAGCGGUGAAAUGCGCAGAUAUCAGGAGGAGCACCGAUGGCGAAGGCAGGUUACUGGGCAGUUACUGACGCUGAGGAGCGAAAGCAUGGGUAGCAAACAGGAUUAGAUACCCUGGUAGUCCAUGCCGUAAACGGUGGGCGCUAGGUGUAGGGGCCUUUUGGGGCUUCUGUGCCGUAGCUAACGCAUUAAGCGCCCCGCCUGGGGAGUACGGCCGCAAGGCUA
This 531-nucleotide ribosomal RNA is filed under the name uncultured bacterium. RNAcentral describes it as "bacterial SSU rRNA". It matches the Rfam family "Bacterial small subunit ribosomal RNA", at positions 355 to 896 of the family's 1533-position model. The record is from RNAcentral.